UGACAUGGCAAGAAAUCCCAAAAAUGAUUUACAUUUCCCAGCCCUAGCCGCUAAAGAGCUUCGCUUGAUGUUCUCCAUAAAGCAGUAAUGCCCCGUGGUCUAAUUCUGAUGAGCAUGCCAUUCCUUGAAUUUAUUCUAAUUCCUAACCACCUGAAUCAAUCCCCUAUCUGGAUGGAAUUUCAACAAGAAACAAUUUUCAGUUAUCAAAUCUUCCAAAAAAAUGUGAAAAUUAACAAAAUAAAAUAAACAGAUAAAUCAAAACAUCAUAGCCCAUAGGGUGGAAUUAAGGAGACAAAAUUGUAACAGACAUGUACACAAUCUGAAGACAGAAUGCUGGAAUUUCCCGCCAACAGCAUCACAUUAAACUCUCCGGCUAACCAAAUCCAAAACCUUCA
This 395-nucleotide unclassified non-coding RNA is filed under the name Hevea brasiliensis (rubber tree). The record is from RNAcentral. Lineage: Eukaryota; Viridiplantae; Streptophyta; Magnoliopsida; Malpighiales; Euphorbiaceae.